AGAAUGAACGCUGGCGGCGCGCCUAAUACAUGCAAGUCGAGCGAGAAGACGUAGCAAUACGUUUGUAAAGCGGCGAACGGGUGAGGAAUACAUGGGUAACCUACCCUCGAGUGGGGAAUAACUAGCCGAAAGGUUAGCUAAUACCGCGUACGCUUCUUGGACUUCGGUUCAGGGAGAAAGCGACGCCGAGGGUAUCGCGCUCUUGGAUGGGCU
Molecule: ribosomal RNA, 213 nt
Filed under: uncultured soil bacterium
Lineage: Bacteria
Description: partial 16S ribosomal RNA
Rfam family: Bacterial small subunit ribosomal RNA
Source: RNAcentral